Molecule: microRNA precursor, 67 nt
Filed under: Glycine max (soybean)
Lineage: Eukaryota; Viridiplantae; Streptophyta; Magnoliopsida; Fabales; Fabaceae
Description: miR4342 stem-loop (gma-MIR4342)
Source: miRBase by way of RNAcentral
UCUUUUCACCACUUACAUUCUAAGACGAGUUUGUUGAAUCGACUUAGAAUGUAGGAUGGUGGCAUUU